AGAUGAUGAGCAAUUUAGAUGACGAGUCCGAGAGAUUCUCAUUGAAGACACACUUUUUUUAAUACCAUUCAUGCAAUACUGAUU
This 84-nucleotide small nucleolar RNA is filed under the name Rhizoclosmatium globosum. Lineage: Eukaryota; Fungi; Chytridiomycota; Chytridiomycetes; Chytridiales; Chytriomycetaceae. The record is from RNAcentral.